UACGUAGGGUGCGAGCGUUAAUCGGAAUUACUGGGCGUAAAGCGUGCGCAGGCGGCUUUGCAAGAGAGAUGUGAAAUCCCCGGGCUUAACCUGGGAACUGCGUUUCUAACUGGCAGGCUUGAGUGUGGCAGAGGGGGGUGGAAUUCCACGUGUAGCAGUGAAAUGCGUAGAGAUGUGGAGGAACACCGAUGGCGAAGGCAGCCCCCUGGGCUAACACUGACGCUCAUGCACGAAAGCGUGGGGAGCAAACAGG
This 253-nucleotide ribosomal RNA is filed under the name uncultured bacterium. RNAcentral describes it as "partial 16S ribosomal RNA". It matches the Rfam family "Bacterial small subunit ribosomal RNA", at positions 524 to 776 of the family's 1533-position model. The record is from RNAcentral.